RNA transcript from Plectropomus leopardus (leopard coralgrouper), 1690 nucleotides. It is a transcript of the gene named keratin, type I cytoskeletal 18-like, with no coding region annotated. The record is from RefSeq and is a predicted model, not a curated record. NCBI's taxonomy places the organism in Eukaryota, Metazoa, Chordata, Actinopteri, Perciformes, Serranidae.
AGAGUAUAAGUUCCCAACUUCCCGUUGCCAGCGUCACUUUCUAAGCCGGCCAGCAGCGAGUCUCCACGUCUCAUCUUUCAUCUCAUUCUCUGCUGUGUCUCAGCUUCUCCAAAAUGAGCUACAGAAAAUCCACCAUUCAGCAGAUACCUUCUUCCCACAUCUCCUUCACCCGCUCUGCACCCCAGCAGCGUGCUGCCAGCACUUAUGGCGGUGCUGGUGGAUCUGGGGUCCGCAUUUCAUCUGUCUCCACAUCUUCUCUGCGGCCUGGUGCCCCCUCCUCCUCUGCCUCUUCCUUCAGGGUGAGUGGAAUGGGUGGUGGUAUAGGCUCAGGUUUUGGUGCGUCAAUGGCAAAUGGUGGUGGUGCUGGUGCUGGGAUCAUGGGCAAUGAGAGGGGAGCCAUGCAGAACCUCAACGACCGCCUGGCCAACUACCUGGCGACGGUGAGGAACCUGGAACAGGCCAAUAAGGAGCUGGAGAUUAAGAUCAAGGAGGCUCUGGAGAGGGGAGGGCCCGACAUGAGAGACUACAGCAAGUAUGAACCCAUCAUAGAAGACCUGCGAAAACAGAUCUUUGACAAGAUUGUGGACAAUGCUCGUUUUGUGCUCCAGAUUGACAAUGCCCGUCUUGCUGCUGAUGACUUCAAAGUAAAGUACGACAAUGAGAUGGCAAUCCGCCAGUCUGUGGAGGCUGACAUUGCUGGGCUGAAGAGAGUCAUAGAUGACACCAACAUGACCAGGAUGAACAUCGAGAGUGAGAUUGAAGCUGUGAAGGAGGAGCUUGCCUUCCUCAAGAGGAACCAUGAGAAUGAGGUGAUGGAGCUGAGGAAUCAGAUCUCCCAGUCAGGCGUGCAAGUGGACGUUGAUGCUCCCAAAGGUCAGGAUCUGGCCCAGAUCAUGGAGGACGUGAGAGGAAACUACGAGAAGAUAGCCAUGAAGAACGCAGAGGACCUGAAACGGUGGCAUGAGAAUCAGAUUGCGGAUGUGCAGGUCGAGGUAUCACAGAACACAGAAGCUCUCCAGGGAGCCCAGAUGGAGAGGGGUGACUUAUCCCGACAGAUACAGACUCUGGAAAUUGAACUUGCAUCUCAACAGAGCUUAAAAGCCUCCCUUGAGGACACAUUACGCAACACAGAGCAGCGAAACAACAUGGAAAUGGAGAAGUACAACAACCUGAUUAUCUGCCUGGAAGAGGAGCUGACCAAGUUGCGCGCAAACAUCCAGCAACAGACCCAAGACUACCAGACGCUGCUCAACAUGAAGAUGAAACUUGAGGCUGAGAUCGCCACUUACAAGGGUCUGCUGGAUGGUGGUGACUUCAAGUAAGGGUUAGGUGGAGGAGAAAAAAAAACAGAUCCAAGCAAGGUGGUGGUGGUGGUGGUGGAGGCUCCAGGAUGCACUGGAUGAGCUGGCCGCAACGAGCUAAUUUGGAAAAAAGAAUCUGGGACCAUCCCAACAACGAAAGCAGAGAAACCCACAACUAUUCAUUAUGGAAAAAAAUCCAUGCUGGCCCAAUUAACUAAAGCCAAAUUUGAUCCAAGAUCACAUACUGUGCAACCAUAAUUGAUUUAAGCAAUACUGAAUAAAGGCAUUCAGCCACAGCGCAGAGAAUCAGGCAGGGCUAUUUGAAAUAAAACCAUUGGCUGACCUAAUAUCAAAAUAAAAAUGAAUAAAAAAACACUUGUUGACCCACA